CAAUAGCGUAUAUUAAAGUUGUUGCAGUUAAAAAGCUCGUAGUUGGAUUUGUGGCGUACGGUGUGUUCCGGGCACUUGUUGUCUGAGUAACCUGCUGUUGCCAUCCUUGGGUGGAACCUGUGUGGCAUUAGGUUGUCGUGCAGGGGAUGCCCAUCAUUUACUGUGAAAAAAUUAGAGUGUUCAAAGCAGGCUUAUGCCGUUGAAUAUAUUAGCAUGGAAUAAUGAGAUAGGACUUUCUUGCUAUUUUGUUGGUUUGCGCAAAGAGGUAAUGAUUAAUAGGGACAGUUGGGGGUAUUCGUAUUCCAUUGUCAGAGGUGAAAUUCUUGGACUUUUGGAAGACGAACUACUGCGAAAGCAUUUACCAAGGAUGUUUUCAUUAA
Molecule: ribosomal RNA, 380 nt
Filed under: uncultured eukaryote
Lineage: Eukaryota
Description: partial 18S ribosomal RNA
Rfam family: Eukaryotic small subunit ribosomal RNA
Source: RNAcentral